Molecule: ribosomal RNA, 434 nt
Filed under: uncultured bacterium
Lineage: Bacteria
Description: partial 16S ribosomal RNA
Rfam family: Bacterial small subunit ribosomal RNA
Source: RNAcentral
AGCGAACGCUGGCGGCAGGCCUAACACAUGCCAGUCGAACGAACCUUUCGGGGUUAGUGGCGGACGGGUGAGUAACACGUUGGAACGUGCCUUUAGGUUCGGAAUAACUCAGUUAAACUUGUGCUAAUACCGAAUGUGCCCUUCGGGGGAAAGAUUUAUCGCCUUUAGUUCGGCCCGCGUCUGAUUAGCUAGUUGUUUGAGGUAAUGGCUCACCAAGGCGACGAUCAGUAGAUGGUCUGAGAGGAUGAUCAGCCACAUUGGGACUGAGACACGGACCAAAAUACGACGGGAGGGAGGAGUGGGGAAUAUUGCGAAAUGGGCGAAAGCCUGAAGAAGCCAUGACGCGUGAAUGAUGAAGGUAUUAGGAAUGUAAAAUUCUUUCAAAGGGGAAGAUAAUGACGGUACCAGGAGAAGAAGCCACGGCUAACUUCGUG